Molecule: non-coding RNA, 27 nt
Filed under: Mus musculus (house mouse)
Lineage: Eukaryota; Metazoa; Chordata; Mammalia; Rodentia; Muridae
Source: RNAcentral
UCUCUACACUUGGAAUUAAACCACAAA